Non-coding RNA from Brassica rapa (field mustard), 104 nucleotides. NCBI's taxonomy places the organism in Eukaryota, Viridiplantae, Streptophyta, Magnoliopsida, Brassicales, Brassicaceae. The record is from Rfam.
AGUCCCUUCGGGAUCAUCCGAUAAAAUUGAAAUGAUAUACAGAAGAUUAGCAUGGUUCCUGCGCAAGGAUGACACGUACAAAUCGAGAAAUAGUCAAAAUUUCU